Molecule: long non-coding RNA, 2115 nt
Organism: Musa acuminata AAA Group (dessert banana)
Lineage: Eukaryota; Viridiplantae; Streptophyta; Magnoliopsida; Zingiberales; Musaceae
Exons: 2
Source: RefSeq, a predicted model, not a curated record
GCUGUUUCCCGCCCUGGUCUCGGGCGCGGCUCUCUUCCACGACCUCGAAUCCCUUUCUACGAUCUCGACGCCGGUCGGCGGAUCCGCCUCGUCGGAGAGCAGGGGCCGAAAGGAUGCGCGGCCGAGGGCGGUGGGGAGGGCCAUGGAGCUCGCCUACGCUGCCGUCGCCUAAAACCGCCCACCUUUUCCCUCCUCUCCUCUCUCCACUGAAGGCAUUCCAUGUGAAGCUUCUGUUACCGAAGAUGGCGAUUCAGCAUAGUUUCUCGAAUUGGGAUCAAAUAUUUGCAAUCAAUGAUAUUGCUGGGUGCACACGAACUUCAAGCUGGUGUUCUGCUGCUGUCUGGUUACAUCAAUGCGAUACACAACUCUUGAGGUGGGCCUCUGAUGAUUUGUGGAAUAUGCACAAGAAUGGACUCUGAAUGGUUUGGUCCUGCUGAUUUUGCUAUGUACCAAUCGACAACUGAAACAACACAGGACUAUUGACCGAACGAACAUACAUCCUGAUCAAUAGGUGAGCGUCAUGUCUCUUUCUAACUCUAUUACCUAGUACCUCUGCAGGCAUCCAAGUUCUCAGGGGAAAUCAUUCUCCCAGUGGCCUCGUGAGAAGUUAUCUUGGACUAAUUAGAGGAUGCUGGUGGACCUUCGUUUGGGUCGAAACCUGCUUGCAAGGGUAGUCCUUACAAGAUUUGGUAAUUCUGCAAUCUUUCUCUUAUUUGGAAGUCUAGUUGAAAGGGAAAGGAUUUGAAAGCAUGUUAGUUUUAUAGUACCAAAUUGGGAGGGCAUUUAUUGAGUUAUUCCCAAGGACAUUAGAUGUUCUGAAUUGAACAUCCUUUAUCAGUGGAAGCGAUGAGGAUGAGACUUGGUACAACGAUGAAGUUGCUCCUUUGUGACCUAAAAAAUCAGGGUUCGAGUUACAAAAAUAAUUUUUUUAAAUAUUUAAAGAUAAGACUCUGUAUAUUGUCCCUUCUUGGAUCUUGUAUUGGUGGGAGUCUCAUGCAUUGGGCAUGCCUUUUUAUUAGUGAAAAUGAUCAGACCCUGUGAUUAACAAGCCAAAGUUGCUGCUGAAACUUUGAUUGUUUCUUUCAUGGUGUUCGUUAUUUUAUCCAUUGAUUAUCUCUUUUACAUGGGAAAAGUGGUAGGACCUAUAGUCAAAUGCAAGUUGACUAGCCAUUGAUGUGCUAAAACGUCAGGGAGCAAUAUGGGUUGCAUUACCACAGUAUAUUGCUUGGAAAUGAGUGGUCCACUGGUGUGACCGAAAAAUCUGCACUAUAUGUUUUGAGUUGGGAUACCAUCAACCCCUGUAUGCCUCAACUCUUAUUAGUUGUUUUGGGUUGGUUAGAUUAAUUGAAAUGAAAUGAAAUCAUUAUUAGUUGCAUGAGAAGAAUCACAAGCUCUUUUGCAGGUCACUUUGUUCAAUCUAAUUAGUUCUUACUAUGAGUUUGGCAACUGAACAACUAACAUGGAUUUGUUGCACUUGUAUUUAGUACUGGCACAUUGUUUCUGAUUGUUGAUCAGCAUUUUCUAUUUCAAGGAGGAGAUGGAUCUUAAGAAUUGAUCACCUUCUUGCAAAGUAGUUACAUGCCAUCAAUGGGGAACUAAACUGGACGAACUCCUUAUUUGCUGUCUUAUUUACGAGGAGUCUUGGGGCUCAUUUUUCAUGUUCUUAUCUUGGUUAUUUGUUCUAACCACAUGAGCUUGUAUCCUGUCUUUGCAGCGACCCAUUGUCUCAAAUUGAAUCAAAAUUUGAAGGUAAUUUCAAUUUUGAAGGUAAUUUCAUCAUUACAUCGUCAGGUAUCAAUCAUCCUCUUUGGUUCACUACGCACUAAACACCAUUAGUGAUGAUCUCGUGACUGAUUAAAGUGAAGGUAUCUUAAUUGUUUAAAGUUAUGAAUUAUGAUAGUGGCAUCAUUGGAUUCUCAGAAUGUGGAAUGCUAUGAGGAUGGUGGUAAAGCCAAACAGUAGGAUGUUAGCAUUCAGGCUUUCUUUCGAAUAUUGGCCUCCUUUCCGCCCACAUCCCAAUAGCAGCUGUCUCCCCUCUAUCUGCUAUGUGUGCAGGAAUGCUCAUGAAAUAUGCUUUUAAAAAGUUUUAAAGUUAUGAUGUAUAGUUUUGGCCUA